RNAcentral lists this ribosomal RNA (253 nucleotides) under uncultured bacterium. RNAcentral's name for it is "partial 16S ribosomal RNA". It matches the Rfam family "Bacterial small subunit ribosomal RNA", at positions 524 to 776 of the family's 1533-position model. The record is from RNAcentral.
UACAGAGGUCUCAAGCGUUGUUCGGAUUCAUUGGGCGUAAAGGGUGCGUAGGCGGCGCGGCAAGUCGGGCGUGAAAUCUCGGGGCUUAACUCCGAAACUGCAUUCGAUACUGCCGUGCUUGAGGACUGGAGAGGAGACUGGAAUUUACGGUGUAGCGGUGAAAUGCGUAGAUAUCGUAAGGAAGACCAGUGGCGAAGGCGAGUCUCUGGGCAGUUACCGACGCUGAGGCACGAAGGUCAGGGGAGCAAACGGG